AACGCACAUUGCGCCCGCCGGUAUCCCGGCGGGCAUGCCUGUUCGAGCGUCAUUUCAACCCUCAGGCUCCGCCUGGUGUUGGGGCUCCUGCGCACGCAGGCCCCCAAAGGCAGCGGCGGUCGUCCCCGGAAACCGAACGCAGUAGUUACUUCUCGUUCUGGGUCCCGGGCGCGCUCCAGCCGUUAAACCCCCCAUAACUCAAUGGUUGACCUCGGAUCAGGUAGGAAUACCCGCUGAACUUAA
Molecule: unclassified non-coding RNA, 243 nt
Filed under: uncultured fungus
Lineage: Eukaryota; Fungi
Description: partial contains 5.8S ribosomal RNA, internal transcribed spacer 2, and large subunit ribosomal RNA
Rfam family: 5.8S ribosomal RNA (bases 1-52)
Source: RNAcentral